UACGUAGGGAGCAAGCGUUGUUCGGAAUUACUGGGCGUAAAGGGCUCGUAGGCGGCCAACUAAGUCGGAUGUGAAAUCCCCAGGCUUAACCUGGGAACUGCAUCCGAUACUGGAUGGCUUGAAUCCGGGAGAGGGAUGCAGAAUUCCAGGUGUAGCGGUGAAAUGCGUAGAUAUCUGGAGGAAUACCGGUGGCGAAGGCGGCAUCCUGGACCGGCAUUGACGCUGAUGAGCGAAAGCUAGGGGAGCAAACGGG
This 253-nucleotide ribosomal RNA is filed under the name uncultured bacterium. RNAcentral's name for it is "partial 16S ribosomal RNA". It matches the Rfam family "Bacterial small subunit ribosomal RNA", at positions 524 to 776 of the family's 1533-position model. The record is from RNAcentral.